CCCGGUGAAGUUUAAACGGCCGCAGUUAGGAGCUGUGCUAAGGUAGCGUAGUAAGUUGUCCUUUAAAUGGGGAAAGGAAUGAAUGGUUUGACGUGAGAAUACCUGUCUCUGGUGGAACUUAAAAAAUUUUCUUCCUGGUGAAAAGCCUAGGAUGUAAGUAAAAGACGAGAAGACCCUUUCGAGCUUGAUUAAGCAAAAAAAUUCAUUUUAAGUGGAAGUUUGGUUGGGGCAACCUAGGAGCAAAAGGAGACUCCUUAAGGCAGUGUAGAUCCAAAAAUUUUGAAAACAGAAAAAGCUACCGUAGGGAUAACAGCGUAUCUUUUC
RNAcentral lists this ribosomal RNA (324 nucleotides) under Galeommatoidea sp. MN7644. RNAcentral's name for it is "partial 16S ribosomal RNA". It matches the Rfam family "Archaeal large subunit ribosomal RNA", at positions 1985 to 2560 of the family's 2987-position model. Lineage: Eukaryota; Metazoa; Mollusca; Bivalvia; Galeommatida. The record is from RNAcentral.